RNAcentral lists this long non-coding RNA (297 nucleotides) under Brassica napus (rape). RNAcentral's name for it is "long non-coding RNA (BNAP_LNC002878)". The record is from RNAcentral. Lineage: Eukaryota; Viridiplantae; Streptophyta; Magnoliopsida; Brassicales; Brassicaceae.
ACGUCAAUAUAGUUCUUCGUGGCAUUGAAUUCCCCGCACCAUGCAAUGAUAGUACUGGUCUUGUGGUCGAUGAAGUAUGUAGGGAAAUUGUAAUAUGGCGCAGAAUGUAAUAUCGGGAGGUCAGGGCCAGUAACAGUAGGGAAAUUGUAAUAUGGCGCAUAAUGUAAUAUCGGGAGGUCAGGGCCAGUAACGUUUAAAUACUUACUCCAACAAACAACCUCAUCAGUCACCUUGUUUGUAGUCCACAAUUCAAUGUUCUCACGUUUAUGCUGAUGUAGUAAAGAAAGCCUAUCUCCU